RNAcentral lists this ribosomal RNA (206 nucleotides) under uncultured bacterium. Its description in RNAcentral is "partial 16S ribosomal RNA". It matches the Rfam family "Bacterial small subunit ribosomal RNA", at positions 570 to 775 of the family's 1533-position model. The record is from RNAcentral.
CGUAGGCGUGCCGUUAAGUCAGGGGUGAAAGCUCCGGGCUCAACCCGGAAACUGCCGUUGAUACUAUUUAUCUUGAAUUCUGUUGAGGUGGGCGGAAUACAUCAUGUAGCGGUGAAAUGCUUAGAUAUGAUGUAGAACACCGAUUGCGAAGGCAGCUCACUAAGCAGACAUUGACGCUGAGGCACGAAAGCGUGGGGAUCAAACAG